GCCCAGGUGGUGAAAUCGGUAGACACAAGGGAUUUAAAAUCCCUCGGCCUUAAGGCUGUGCGGGUUCAAGUCCCGCCCUGGGCACCA
This 87-nucleotide transfer RNA is filed under the name Escherichia coli. RNAcentral describes it as "tRNA-Leu". It matches the Rfam family "tRNA". Rfam says of the family: Transfer RNA (tRNA) molecules are approximately 80 nucleotides in length. Their secondary structure includes four short double-helical elements and three loops (D, anti-codon, and T loops). The record is from RNAcentral. Lineage: Bacteria; Pseudomonadati; Pseudomonadota; Gammaproteobacteria; Enterobacterales; Enterobacteriaceae. RNAcentral also lists the same sequence under 24 other names.